RNAcentral lists this ribosomal RNA (492 nucleotides) under uncultured bacterium. Its description in RNAcentral is "partial 16S ribosomal RNA". It matches the Rfam family "Bacterial small subunit ribosomal RNA", at positions 29 to 507 of the family's 1533-position model. The record is from RNAcentral.
AGUGAACGCUGGCGGUAGGCCUAACACAUGCAAGUCGAACGGCAGCACAGUAAGAGCUUGCUCUUACGGGUGGCGAGUGGCGGACGGGUGAGGAAUACAUCGGAAUCUACUUUUUCAUGGGGGAUAACGUAGGGAAACUUACGCUAAUACCGCAUACGACCUACGGGUGAAAGCAGGGGAUCUUCGGACCUUGCGCGAUUGAAUGAGCCGAUGUCGGAUUAGCUAGUUGGCGGGGUAAAGGCCCACCAAGGCGACGAUCCGUAGCUGGUCUGAGAGGAUGAUCAGCCACACUGGAACUGAGACACGGUCCAGACUCCUACGGGAGGCAGCAGUGGGGAAUAUUGGACAAUGGGCGCAAGCCUGAUCCAGCCAUACCGCGUGGGUGAAGAAGGCCUUCGGGUUAUAAAGCCCUUUUGUUGGGAAAGAAAAGCAGCAGGUUAAUACCCCGCUGUUCUGACGGUACCCAAAGAAUAAGCACCGGCUAACUUCGUG